Molecule: ribosomal RNA, 301 nt
Filed under: uncultured bacterium
Lineage: Bacteria
Description: partial 16S ribosomal RNA
Rfam family: Bacterial small subunit ribosomal RNA
Source: RNAcentral
CAGUCGCCGCGGUAAUACGAAGGGUGCAAGCGUUACUCGGAAUUACUGGGCGUAAAGCGUGUGUAGGUGGUUGUUUAAGUCUGUCGUGAAAGCCCUGGGCUCAACCUGGGAAUUGCGAUGGAUACUGGGCGACUAGAGUGCGGUAGAGGAUAGUGGAAUUUCCGGUGUAGCAGUGAAAUGCGUAGAGACCGGAAGGAACAUCUGUGGCGAAGGCGACUAUCUGGGCCAACACUGACACUGAGACACGAAAGCGUGGGGAGCAAACAGGAUUAGAGACCCCUGUAGUCCCUGUCUCUUAUAC